RNAcentral lists this ribosomal RNA (770 nucleotides) under uncultured Prevotella sp. RNAcentral's name for it is "bacterial SSU rRNA". It matches the Rfam family "Bacterial small subunit ribosomal RNA", at positions 48 to 776 of the family's 1533-position model. The record is from RNAcentral. Lineage: Bacteria; Pseudomonadati; Bacteroidota; Bacteroidia; Bacteroidales; Prevotellaceae.
GAAUUACACGGCAGCAGCAUCAACACACACAAGAAGACAAAACAGUCAGCAGCGACAGAUUUUAGGCGAAUUCUACAAGCUGGGAAGGGGGUGAGUACGGCGUGGUAACAGGGGGGGUAGCCAGGGGUAAGGGUGGGACUCUCAUAUAUAAUUCCCGCAUAAGGCCUUUUACAUCCAGGUGGAUGUUAGAAAGUUCAGGCGCAUCAACACAAGAAGGACCUGAGUUGAUUAGUUAGUUGGUGGGGUAACGGCUCACCAAGGCAACGAUCAAUAGCCGACCUGAGAGGGUGAUCGGCCACACUGGGAAUGAGACACGGCCCAGACUCCUACGGGAGGCAGCAGUAGGGAAUUUUCGGCAAUGGGGGGAACCCUGAUCCAGCAACGCCGCGUGUGUGAAGAAGGUUUUCGGAUUGUAAAGCUAUGUUGUUAAGGAAGAAAAGGUGUGAGAGUGGAAAGUUCUCACAGGACGGUACUUAACCAGAAAGGGACGGCUAACUACGUGCCAGCAGCCGCGGUAAUAGUAAGGUCCCAAGCGUUGUCCGGAUUUAUUGGGCGUAAAGCGAGCGCAGGCGGUUAGAUACGUCUGAAGUGAAAGGCAGUGGCUCAACCAUAGUAGGCUUUGGAAACUGUUUAACUUGAGUGCAGAAGGGGGGAGUGGAAUUCCAUGUGUAGCGGUGAAAUGCGUAGAUAUAUGGAGGAACACCGGUGGCGAAAGCGGCUCUCUGGUCUGUAACUGACGUUGAGGCUCGAAAGCGUGGGGAGCGAACAGG